Molecule: long non-coding RNA, 1319 nt
Filed under: Oreochromis niloticus (Nile tilapia)
Lineage: Eukaryota; Metazoa; Chordata; Actinopteri; Cichliformes; Cichlidae
Description: lncRNA (ENSONIG00000032460.1)
Source: RNAcentral
UAUGUUAAUUAAAGUAGCAAAGUACUUACACACUGUAAAUGGCAUAAAAUCAAGUGAUAGUGUAGCUUAACAAUAUAGUGAUGGGUAUAGAUAAUGUUGCAUCGGAACCUUUGUGGAUAUUUAAAUGUUAGUAAUCUGGGUAGAAAUGAUCACAUUUUACUUUAGUUAGUUUAAAGGUUUAAGUAAUGUUUUAAAUAUUGUAUUGGAUGUAUAGCUACUUUUAGUUGCUCCCUUGUGACAAAGGCUCGCUCCGCGUGUUUAAUUCGGGAGCUUUUUACACUGGAUGCUCUUCCUGUGGGCAGUUGUGUCUCUGACUGGGAUCAAACCAGUGACCCUUUGGUUAAAUGUGGUAACCAGUACGCUGUUGAUGAAGGAAAAUGGAAAUAACUGAGACAGUCCCUGAAUAAUUAAAUGUUGUUGAUCUAUUGCUGAACUUUAGAUAUUUUAAAUGGUGUUUAAAUGGCCAUUACAAAUCAGUUUAAGCUGAAAGUGCUGUAGUGUGUCUUAUGGUCGUUGUUACAUACCCAUCUUUGUACAAAUAAAUGGAAACAUUCUUAAUAAAAACAUUUGACUUAAAUUAACAUAUUCAGUAGCUGUUGUGAGAUGAACUGGCAUUUAUAGUACAUCUGUUCCAACACAGUGAAGUCACAUGCAAUUUAGAUAGUCAUCAUAAGACGUUUUAUCAAAAGCUUUUGUAAUUCUUUUCAGUACUGUCAGUAUGGCAACUGUGUCUACACUUGGAUUUGAAGUUUAUAGAGGUUAAAGUGCACUUGGGGUCAGGGGUCUGUAGCAUUUGGCACUUCCAGUAGACUGACAUUUUGUCAUCAUCAUCAUCACUGAGUCACAACAUCUUCUCCUUCACCCUCACACUUGAACUCCACUCUGUUCCCUUUCAUACAUCAUAUAUACUUAGUCUGCUACAAUCCAGGAGGCGUAAAGCAGGAUAAAGUUAAAAGUUUGACCCAUUGUGUAAACUAACUUGACCUAUGAAUGAUCAACAGCUUAUUGCACUCCACCUCACACCCUGUGACCCACCGGAGGAUGCCAACAACCAGGAGGCAACGAUCAUGGAGGCACGGGAGGUGAAGACCACGCAGGUGGAGGAAGUGAGGAAUGUGAUGGAGAAGAUUGAGCUCAACAAGGGACAGGAUGACCCACUGAGCACUUCAGAGGAGCAAGUGGAGCACGCAGGCAACAAGACCAGCAAAGUCCCAGAGGCAUCAAGAUCCAGACCUAAGAAGAAAAGGCCACUAGUGAGUAUGCUUUUGCUAAUGCUUUUAAUCACCACAGCUCAUUUCAUUCAGUACAAAUACCUGUAG